Molecule: ribosomal RNA, 513 nt
Filed under: uncultured bacterium
Lineage: Bacteria
Description: partial 16S ribosomal RNA
Rfam family: Bacterial small subunit ribosomal RNA
Source: RNAcentral
GAUGAACGCUGGCGGCGUGCCUAAUACAUGCAAGUCGAGCGAACAGACGAGGAGCUUGCUCCUCUGACGUUAGCGGCGGACGGGUGAGUAACGCGUGGAUAACCUACCUAUAAGACUGGGAUAACUUCGGGAAACCGGAGCUAAUACCGGAUAAUAUAUUGAACCGCAUGGUUCAAUAGUGAAAGACGGUUUUGCUGUCACUUAUAGAUGGAUCCGCGCCGCAUUAGCUAGUUGGUAAGGUAACGGCUUACCAAGGCAACGAUGCGUAGCCGACCUGGGAGGGUGAUCGGCCACACUGGAACUGAGACACGGUCCAGACUCCUACGGGAGGCAGCAGUAGGGAAUCUUCCGCAAUGGGCGAAAGCCUGACGGAGCAACGCCGCGUGAGUGAUGAAGGUCUUCGGAUCGUAAAACUCUGUUAUUAGGGAAGAACAAAUGUGUAAGUAACUAUGCACGUCUUGACGGUACCUAAUCAGAAAGCCACGGCUAACUACGUGCCAGCAGCCGCAGUAA